This 72-nucleotide transfer RNA is filed under the name Candidatus Handelsmanbacteria bacterium RIFCSPLOWO2_12_FULL_64_10. RNAcentral describes it as "tRNA-Glu". It matches the Rfam family "tRNA". From Rfam's summary of the family: Transfer RNA (tRNA) molecules are approximately 80 nucleotides in length. RNAcentral also lists the same sequence under 1 other name. The record is from RNAcentral. Lineage: Bacteria; Candidatus Handelsmaniibacteriota.
GCCCCUAUCGUCCAGUGGUCAGGACACCGGUCUUUCAAGCCGGUAACAGGAGUUCAAUUCUCCUUAGGGGCA